Molecule: ribosomal RNA, 457 nt
Filed under: Streptococcus sanguinis
Lineage: Bacteria; Bacillati; Bacillota; Bacilli; Lactobacillales; Streptococcaceae
Description: bacterial SSU rRNA
Rfam family: Bacterial small subunit ribosomal RNA
Source: RNAcentral
GACGAACGCUGGCGGCGUGCCUAAUACAUGCAAGUAGAACGCUGAAGAGAGGAGCUUGCUCUUCUUGGAUGAGUUGCGAACGGGUGAGUAACGCGUAGGUAACCUGCCUGGUAGCGGGGGAUAACUAUUGGAAACGAUAGCUAAUACCGCAUGAUAUUAAUUGUCGCAUGAUAAUUAAUUGAAAGAUGCAAUUGCAUCACUACCAGAUGGACCUGCGUUGUAUUAGCUAGUUGGUGAGGUAACGGCUCACCAAGGCGACGAUACAUAGCCGACCUGAGAGGGUGAUCGGCCACACUGGGACUGAGACACGGCCCAGACUCCUACGGGAGGCAGCAAUAGGGAAUCUUCGGCAAUGGGGGGAACCCUGACCGAGCAACGCCGCGUGAGUGAAGAAGGUUUUCGGAUCGUAAAGCUCUGUUGUAAGAGAAGAACGGGUGUGAGAGUGGAAAGUUCACAC